UUCAGAACAGCAGGUGAACUUAGAUGCUGAAAAGGAUACCAUUAUCAAAGCGAAUGACGACAUACCAGUCAACGACACCGAUAAAUUCAGUAACAAGGACAAGGACGGUAAAGGGAUUGUCAAUAGCAAAAAUAGCAAAGAUUCUGCACCAUGUGGAGUUGGUAAUUCUUGUUUUGACACUGCAGUGAGUGGUCCUUUAUCUUUUCCAGACGAAAUACCCGAGACUUGUGAGGGUUUAAUGCCUGUGUCAAUUGGGUCUGAGUCUUUAAUUUUGAGUCAGAUACAUCAUUCUCCCG
This 296-nucleotide unclassified non-coding RNA is filed under the name Hevea brasiliensis (rubber tree). Lineage: Eukaryota; Viridiplantae; Streptophyta; Magnoliopsida; Malpighiales; Euphorbiaceae. The record is from RNAcentral.